Molecule: long non-coding RNA, 611 nt
Organism: Metopolophium dirhodum (rose-grain aphid)
Lineage: Eukaryota; Metazoa; Arthropoda; Insecta; Hemiptera; Aphididae
Exons: 2
Source: RefSeq, a predicted model, not a curated record
GCGCGUAGAGGGUACCGUCGGGCGGAGUGGGGUGGAAAUUCGUAUGGUGUGCUGCCAACAUAAUUAUUAAUUAAUUAUUAUUCUCGUUUACGUAUACUCGCGAGUUCAUAUCGUAUAAUAAUAUUAUUAUACACUACGACUCGUGCGGACUCAUUUUGUGCGUCGUCGUCGUCGUCGUGUCUGUACGAGGUAUUACUAUAUUAUAUUACUAUAUUAUUACGAGGUAUUGAGUAACUCAAACAUUACUGUGGUUCAUCAAUUGAAAAGAAAUUGCUGAUGUCCGCCAUCGCGGCUACAACGAAGUCUUCAAUCUGACACUCGUUGGUUCCUUUCAGUAUCCGGAAGUAUCCGCUUUCACCCCACCAAAGUCCCCACGAGUUUGAAACGAUCUAUAUAGAAUAACAACAAGAAAACUCUUACUGGUAACAUAUUAUUGCUAGUUGCCGUAUUUUUGUAUUUUAUGCAAGUACCGUGAUUUUUUUUUAAAGCAAUGUAAUUAUUUUUUGAUACAUUUUUGUUUCAUGUCAUUACCUUUUUUACUAACAUAAAACAUUUGUCUAUCAUCCAAGUUCAUCGUAUAUAAAUAUAUAAUAUUAUGCACCUACCCAAUA